GGGGGUAUUGCUCAGUGGCAGAGUGUAUGCUUAGCAUGCGUGAGGUCCUAGGUUUAAUCCCCAGUACUUCCA
Molecule: transfer RNA, 72 nt
Filed under: Camelus bactrianus (Bactrian camel)
Lineage: Eukaryota; Metazoa; Chordata; Mammalia; Artiodactyla; Camelidae
Also listed under: 2 other names
Rfam family: tRNA
About the family: Transfer RNA (tRNA) molecules are approximately 80 nucleotides in length. Their secondary structure includes four short double-helical elements and three loops (D, anti-codon, and T loops).
Source: Rfam by way of RNAcentral